UUAGCCCCAGGUUCUCAAACAGGUCUUCUGGCCUCACGUGCCCAGCCUUCCCCGGGGUCCCUGCUCCCCGCAGUGCUCCGCAGCAGGACGCGAGGGCAGACCCCCGGCUGGCUUCCGCGGUCCCACCAACGCGCGCCGGGAGUCCCGGGGUCAUGGCUCGGGGCGCGCGAGGUCGCACUGCGCAUUCCGCGCAUUCCCGCCGACCGGUGUUUCGCCGCCACGUGGUCGUCCUGCGCGCCGCGCUUACCGUAAAGUUUGGAGGCGACGCGCAGCAGUGGCUCAGGAGCGCCGGAGGACGCUCCCCAAGACAGAUGGAUCAACGCUUUAGAGUGCUUGCUGAUUUUCCAAGAGGACCGGAUUCCGUUUCCAGCACUCACACGUCAGGCAGCUCCCCCAAACCAGCUCCAGCUCCGGAGGAUCCUACACAUUCUUCUGGACUCUGAGGGUACCCGCACUCUCACACACACAGAUGCCAACACUAAUAAGCAAAUAAAUCGAAUUUAAAGGAUGCCGGGGAGUUGGAAAAGGUUUCUGUGUCUACGGAGGCGACACACAGAGCUGUGCUCCCUGGCCGCCCCCAGGCUGUCCCCAUCUGUGUUGGCUUCUAGACGUUUAGCGCAGUGCUGGAGGGUGGCUAGCGUCUCUUCCGUGCAUUCAUUCACCGCUUAGCUGAAUAUGCAGAGUGAAGGCUGUGGUGCGCCGCCUGUGGUAUGUGGAAUUAAUUAAACGUUUUGGUUCAUAUUCAGAAAGAGAAUUGUUAAAAUGACUUCAUGAUGAAUCAACUCCCUUCCCUUUGCUGACUUCUGAGCUCUUCAUGGGUGUGGGAUUUAAAUCACAGAAGAAAAAAAAAAAACUUAAUUUGGGAAAAAAGAAAAAAACU
Meriones unguiculatus (Mongolian gerbil) is the source of this 880-nucleotide long non-coding RNA. RefSeq lists it as uncharacterized. The record is from RefSeq and is a predicted model, not a curated record. Lineage: Eukaryota; Metazoa; Chordata; Mammalia; Rodentia; Muridae. The transcript is spliced from 3 exons.